RNAcentral lists this ribosomal RNA (301 nucleotides) under uncultured bacterium. RNAcentral describes it as "partial 16S ribosomal RNA". It matches the Rfam family "Bacterial small subunit ribosomal RNA", at positions 509 to 807 of the family's 1533-position model. The record is from RNAcentral.
CAGUAGCCACGGGAACACGAGGGGGGCAAGCGUUGUUCGGAAUUAUUGGGCGUAAAGGGCGCGUAGGCGGUUUGACAAGUUUCAUGUGAAAUCUAUGGGCUCAACCCAUAGUCUGCGUGGAAAACUGUCGGGCUUGAGUAUGGGAGAGGUGAGUGGAAUUUCCGGUGUAGCGGUGAAAUGCGUAGAUAUCGGAAGGAACACCUGUGGCGAAAGCGGCUCACUGGACCAUUACUGACGCUGAUGCACGAAAGCUAGGGGAGCAAACAGGAUUAGAUACCCGCGUAGUCCCUGUCUCUUAUAC